UUCGGCUGUUUGCUUGGCUUAUAUUAGCCUUGUGGGUGGCUGUUUCCUGGUGUGGCUUCGGGGAUGUUUAUCGUAAAGGUGCAUGAGUGGUAUUUGGUUUGAUACGGGUGGUCGGCUCCCUGCUUGAGCAGGCACGACCAUGCGUACAUUCCUUUUCAGUUGUAUGACAAGGCUUGUAUCGUCUAGAUUGUACAUGUGGGUUUUUUGUGUUGCAUACCUGAUCAAUGGCAUCGUUUUUUGAGAAAUAAAAAUGUACGCUUUUCGUUGGGCAUUGCACUUGUAAUGCUUGAUGAACCAUGUUAGCAUCUUCUUUGAUCCAAAUUGUCAAUGAGCAUUUGUUGAUGGUUUGGCCCAUUGAAGGUGGCUUGUAUCUUGGAUAUUGAAGCCAAAAUGGGCAUGGGUUUUAUGAUCCUUGUAUUGCCCUCGUUGAGCGUUCUUGCUUCUCUUACACGACGGCCUCUCACGUAUGGCACGUCCCAGCGUGAUUGGUUGUGUCGAAGAGGAA
This 505-nucleotide unclassified non-coding RNA is filed under the name Tripolium pannonicum. RNAcentral's name for it is "partial contains external transcribed spacer, partial sequence". Lineage: Eukaryota; Viridiplantae; Streptophyta; Magnoliopsida; Asterales; Asteraceae. The record is from RNAcentral.